This 484-nucleotide ribosomal RNA is filed under the name uncultured bacterium. RNAcentral describes it as "partial 16S ribosomal RNA". It matches the Rfam family "Bacterial small subunit ribosomal RNA", at positions 30 to 507 of the family's 1533-position model. The record is from RNAcentral.
AUUGAACGCUGGCGGCAGGCCUAACACAUGCAAGUCGAGCGGUUGAAGCGAGCUUGCUCCUGGUUUCAGCGUCGGACGGGUGUGUAUUGCCUAGGAAUCUGCCUGGUCGUGGUGUAUAACGUCCGCUAACGGGCGCUUCUACCGCAUACGUCCUUAUGGAGAAUGUUGUGUAUCUUCUGACCUCACGCUAUCUCAUGUGUCUAGGUCGGAUUAGCUAGUUUGUUGGGUAAAGUCCUACGAAGGCGACCAUCCGUAACUGGUCUGAGAGGAUGAUCAGUCACACUGGAAGUGAGACAGGGACCAGAGGACUAAGGGAGGGAGCAGUGGGGAAUAUUGGACAAUGGGGGAAAGCAUGAUACAGCGAUGGCACGUGUGUGAAGAAGGAGUUCGGAUAGUAAAGAAGGUUAAGGGGGGAGGAAGGGCAGUAAGAUAAGAAGAAGCGGUAGUGACGGUACCAACAGAAAAAGCACCGGCUAACUACGUG